Molecule: long non-coding RNA, 571 nt
Organism: Homo sapiens (human)
Lineage: Eukaryota; Metazoa; Chordata; Mammalia; Primates; Hominidae
Product: long intergenic non-protein coding RNA 2529
Source: Ensembl
UGUGAAGUGCCACCUAUGCCUUCAAAGUGAUAAAGAUCCAGACUGAGUUGAAAAGAAUGAUAAAGACAGAGCUGAGAGGGCCACAGUUUUAGUGACAGCCUCAGCUGUGACAAAGGAGAGAAAACAGAAAGACCUGGGAAAGUGCAAGGAUGAAGCAAUUAAGUUUGAGAAAUGUGAUGUGAGGUUUAGGAAAGGUGGAUUUUAGCCCCAGCAGACUUUUAGCUGGACACGGACCUAAUACCUUGAGACUUCAUUGUUCCCAUUAAAGAAAAAAUUAUCUUCUGACUUUCUAGGGGUUUGGGGGUCCCAGAUAUCAAAAGAUUUAAACCACUUAGGAGGUUUCCAUUGGAAGGAGAAGACUGUCUUUAGCCCACUGCAUCCCCUCAAGCCAUCCCAAGCUUUCUCUGUGCCAGGGACUGGACGCACGCUAAAAUACGAACCUGUGUGGACUUCUUUCUUAGGAGCCUUUGCACCAGCACAGUUGAGUUGUUACACCAUUCACUUCUGUCUCUAACUUAACAACCCACCUUGGGAGGUUUAACUCAAUAUAUCUUUGUUACUAUUUAUAAAA